CAGCAGCCGCGGGAAUACGGAGGGUGCAAGCGUUAAUCGGAAUUACUGGGCGUAAAGCGCACGCAGGCGGUCUGACAAGUCAGAUGUGAAAUCCCCGGGCUUAACCUGGGAACUGCAUUUGAAACUGUCAGGCUGGAGUCUUGUAGAGGGGGGUGGAAUUCCAGGUGUAGCGGUGAAAUGCGUAGAGAUCUGGAGGAAUACCGGUGGCGAAGGCGGCCCCCUGGACAAAGACUGACGCUCAGGUGCGAAAGCGUGGGGAGCAAACAGGAUUAGAUAUCCCGGUAGUCCCUGUCUCUUAUAC
This 301-nucleotide ribosomal RNA is filed under the name uncultured bacterium. Its description in RNAcentral is "partial 16S ribosomal RNA". It matches the Rfam family "Bacterial small subunit ribosomal RNA", at positions 509 to 807 of the family's 1533-position model. The record is from RNAcentral.